This 465-nucleotide ribosomal RNA is filed under the name Vreelandella stevensii. RNAcentral's name for it is "partial 16S ribosomal RNA". It matches the Rfam family "Bacterial small subunit ribosomal RNA", at positions 338 to 795 of the family's 1533-position model. Lineage: Bacteria; Pseudomonadati; Pseudomonadota; Gammaproteobacteria; Oceanospirillales; Halomonadaceae. The record is from RNAcentral.
CCUACGGGAGGCAGCAGUGGGGAAUAUUGGACAAUGGGGGCAACCCUGAUCCAGCCAUGCCGCGUGUGUGAAGAAGGCCCUCGGGUUGUAAAGCACUUUCAGUGAGGAAGAACGCCUGGUGGUUAAUACCCAUCAGGAAAGACAUCACUCACAGAAGAAGCACCGGCUAACUCCGUGCCAGCAGCCGCGGUAAUACGGAGGGUGCGAGCGUUAAUCGGAAUUACUGGGCGUAAAGCGCGCGUAGGUGGCUUGAUAAGCCGGUUGUGAAAGCCCCGGGCUCAACCUGGGAACGGCAUCCGGAACUGUCAAGCUAGAGUGCAGGAGAGGAAGGUAGAAUUCCCGGUGUAGCGGUGAAAUGCGUAGAGAUCUGGAGGAAUACCAGUGGCGAAGGCGGCCUUCUGGACUGACACUGACACUGAGGUGCGAAAGCGUGGGUAGCAAACAGGAUUAGAUACCCCUGUAGUC